RNAcentral lists this ribosomal RNA (405 nucleotides) under uncultured Alphaproteobacteria bacterium. RNAcentral describes it as "bacterial SSU rRNA". It matches the Rfam family "Bacterial small subunit ribosomal RNA", at positions 32 to 486 of the family's 1533-position model. The record is from RNAcentral. Lineage: Bacteria; Pseudomonadati; Pseudomonadota; Alphaproteobacteria.
AACGCUGGCGGCAGGCCUACACAUGCAAGUCGAGCGCGCCUUCGGGCGAGCGGCGGACGGGUUAGUAACGCGUGGGAACGUGCCCAGAUCUACGGAAUAGCCACUGGAAACGGUGAGUAAUACCGUAUACGCCCUUCGGGGGAAAGAUUUAUCGGAUUUGGAUCGGCCCGCGUUAGAUUAGGUAGUUGGUGGGGUAACGGCCUACCAAGCCUACGAUCUAUAGCUGGUUUUAGAGGAUGAUCAGCAACACUGGGACUGAGACACGGCCCAGACUCCUACGGGAGGCAGCAGUGGGGAAUCUUGGACAAUGGGGGCAACCCUGAUCCAGCCAUGCCGCGUGAGUGAAGAAGGCCCUAGGGUCGUAAAACUCUUUCGCCUGUGAUGAUAAUGACAGUAGCAGGUAAA